This 470-nucleotide ribosomal RNA is filed under the name Comamonadaceae bacterium. RNAcentral describes it as "bacterial SSU rRNA". It matches the Rfam family "Bacterial small subunit ribosomal RNA", at positions 391 to 854 of the family's 1533-position model. The record is from RNAcentral. Lineage: Bacteria; Pseudomonadati; Pseudomonadota; Betaproteobacteria; Burkholderiales; Comamonadaceae.
GCAAUGCCGCGUGCAGGAUGAAGGCCUUCGGGUUGUAAACUGCUUUUGUACGGAACGAAACGGCGAGCUCUAAUAAAGUUCGCUAAUGACGGUACCGUAAGAAUAAGCACCGGCUAACUACGUGCCAGCAGCCGCGGUAAUACGUAGGGUGCAAGCGUUAAUCGGAAUUACUGGGCGUAAAGCGUGCGCAGGCGGUGAUGUAAGACAGAUGUGAAAUCCCCGGGCUCAACCUGGGACCUGCAUUUGUGACUGCAUCGCUAGAGUACGGUAGAGGGGGAUGGAAUUCCGCGUGUAGCAGUGAAAUGCGUAGAUAUGCGGAGGAACACCGAUGGCGAAGGCAAUCCCCUGGACCUGUACUGACGCUCAUGCACGAAAGCGUGGGGAGCAAACAGGAUUAGAUACCCUGGUAGUCCACGCCCUAAACGAUGUCAACUGGUUGUUGGGUCUUCACUGACUCAGUAACGAAGCUA